UACGGGAGGCAGCAGUGGGGAAUAUUGCACAAUGGGCGCAAGCCUGAUGCAGCCAUGCCGCGUGUAUGAAAAAGGCCUUCGGGUUAUAAAGUACUUUCAGUCGUGAGGAAGGUGUUAAGGUUAAUAACCUUAGCAAUUGACGUUAGCGACAGAAGAAGCACCGGCUAACUCCGUGCCAGCAGCCGCGGUAAUACGGAGGGUGCGAGCGUUAAUCGGAAUUACUGGGCGUAAAGGGCACGCAGGCGGUUAAUUAAGUUGGAUGUGAAAUCCCCGGGCUUAACCUGGGAAUGGCAUUCAAGACUGGUUAGCUAGAGUCUUGUAGAGGGGGUAGAAUUCCAUGUGUAGCGGUGAAAUGCGUAGAGAUGUGGAGGAAUACCGGUGGCGAAGGCGGCCCCUGGACAAAGACUGACGCUCAUGUGCGAAAGCGUGGGGAGCAAACAGGGAUUUAGAUACC
RNAcentral lists this ribosomal RNA (454 nucleotides) under uncultured bacterium. Its description in RNAcentral is "bacterial SSU rRNA". It matches the Rfam family "Bacterial small subunit ribosomal RNA", at positions 340 to 786 of the family's 1533-position model. The record is from RNAcentral.